UGGGGAAUAUUGCGCAAUGGGGGAAACCCUGACGCAGCAACGCCGCGUGAGUGAUGAAGGCCUUCGGGUCGUAAAGCUCUGUCGGCAGGAACGAGGGUGUUUGUCUCUAAUAAAGGCAAGCAUUGACGGUACCUGCAAAGGAAGCACCGGCUAACUCUGUGCCAGCAGCCGCGGUAAGACAGAGGGUGCAAGCGUUAUUCGGAAUUAUUGGGCGUAAAGGGCGCGUAGGCGGCCCAUCAAGUCGGAUGUGAAAGCCCAGGGCUCAACCUUGGAAGUGCAUCCGAAACUGAUGAGCUAGAGUUCACGGAGAGGGUGGUGGAAUUCCCAGUGUAGAGGUGAAAUUCGUAGAUAUUGGGAGGAACACCGGUGGCGAAGGCGACCACCUGGACGGAAACUGACGCUGAGGCGCGAAAGCGUGGGUAGCAAACAGG
Molecule: ribosomal RNA, 431 nt
Filed under: uncultured bacterium
Lineage: Bacteria
Description: bacterial SSU rRNA
Rfam family: Bacterial small subunit ribosomal RNA
Source: RNAcentral